This 252-nucleotide ribosomal RNA is filed under the name uncultured bacterium. RNAcentral's name for it is "partial 16S ribosomal RNA". It matches the Rfam family "Bacterial small subunit ribosomal RNA", at positions 524 to 776 of the family's 1533-position model. The record is from RNAcentral.
UACGGAGGAUGCGAGCGUUAUCCGGAUUUAUUGGGUUUAAAGGGUGCGCAGGCGGAUUUUUAAGUCAGCGGUCAAAUCGUGGGGCUCAACCCCAUCCAGCCGUUGAAACUGGGGAUCUAGAGUGUGCUAGAGGUAUGCGGAAUGCGUGGUGUAGCGGUGGAAUGCAUAGAUAUCACGCAGAACCCCGAUUGCGAAGGCAGCAUACCGGUGCACAACUGACGCUCAGGCACGAAAGCGUGGGUAUCGAACAGG